Molecule: transfer RNA, 58 nt
Filed under: Salmo salar (Atlantic salmon)
Lineage: Eukaryota; Metazoa; Chordata; Actinopteri; Salmoniformes; Salmonidae
Rfam family: tRNA
About the family: Transfer RNA (tRNA) molecules are approximately 80 nucleotides in length. Their secondary structure includes four short double-helical elements and three loops (D, anti-codon, and T loops).
Source: Rfam by way of RNAcentral
UAGCUCAGUUGGGAGAGCAUGGUGUUUGCAACGCCAGGGUUGUGGGUUCGAUUGCCAC